GUCCACGCCCUAAACUAUGUCAACUAGUUGUCGGGAAAGCAAUUUCUUGGUAACGAAGCUAACGCGUGAAGUUGACCGCCUGGGGAGUACGGUCGCAAGAUUAAAACUCAAAGGAAUUGACGGGGGCCCGCACAAGCGGUGGAUGAUGUGGAUUAAUUCGAUGCAACGCGAAAAACCUUACCUACCCUUGACAUGCCCGGGAGCCAGAUGAGAGUUUGGGUGCUCGAAAGAGAGCCGGGACACAGGUGCUGCAUGGCUGUCGU
Molecule: ribosomal RNA, 263 nt
Filed under: uncultured bacterium
Lineage: Bacteria
Description: partial 16S ribosomal RNA
Rfam family: Bacterial small subunit ribosomal RNA
Source: RNAcentral